Molecule: small RNA, 95 nt
Filed under: Myotis lucifugus (little brown bat)
Lineage: Eukaryota; Metazoa; Chordata; Mammalia; Chiroptera; Vespertilionidae
Description: 7SK RNA (ENSMLUG00000021387.1)
Source: RNAcentral
UUGGUCAAGGUUUUGAGAGUAGCUAUACUUCCCUUCUACAGCCUUUAUACGUGCUCUCAGGAUCCACUUUUAGAAGAAAUGCAGGAUGGUUGAAC